CAUGCAAGUCGAACGGAAAGGCCCUUCGGGGUACUCGAGUGGCGAACGGGUGAGUAACACGUGGGUGAUCUGCCCUGCACUUUGGGAUAAGCCUGGGAAACUGGGUCUAAUACCGGAUAGGACCAUGGCAUUCAUGUGCUGUGGUGGAAAGCUUUUGCGGUGUGGGAUGGGCCCGCGGCCUAUCAGCUUGUUGGUGGGGUAAUGGCCUACCAAGGCGACGACGGGUAGCCGGCCUGAGAGGGUGACCGGCCACACUGGGACUGAGAUACGGCCCAGACUCCUACGGGAGGCAGCAGUGGGGAAUAUUGCACAAUGGGCGCAAGCCUGAUGCAGCGACGCCGCGUGAGGGAUGACGGCCUUCGGGUUGUAAACCUCUUUCGCUCACGACGAAGCGCAAGUGACGGUAGUGAGAGAAGAAGGACCGGCCAACUACGUGCCAGCAGCCGCGGUAAUACGUAGGGUGCGAGCGUUGUCCGGAAUUACUGGGCGUAAAGAGCUCGUAGGUGGUUUGUCGCGUUGUUCGUGAAAACUCACA
This 535-nucleotide ribosomal RNA is filed under the name uncultured Mycobacterium sp. Its description in RNAcentral is "bacterial SSU rRNA". It matches the Rfam family "Bacterial small subunit ribosomal RNA", at positions 54 to 606 of the family's 1533-position model. Lineage: Bacteria; Bacillati; Actinomycetota; Actinomycetes; Mycobacteriales; Mycobacteriaceae. The record is from RNAcentral.